UUUUCCAAUUAAAGUAUCGACUUGAAAUAACUUUAUGAACUUAACAUGAAGUUUUCUUAAUAAUUUAGUGGAACUUUGGGCAAAUUUGGACAAUUUUCAAGGGAGUUAUGGACUUUUUGGUACUAAAGGUCCAAAAAAAUGGAGAAAAAUCCAACAUUUAACUUUGACAGCUUGUAAAAAAAAUUCCAAUUUAAGUAUCAACUUGAAAUAACUUUAUGAACUUAAUAUGAAGUUUUCUUAAUAAUUUAGUGGAACUUUGGGUAAAUUUGGACAAUUUUUAAGGGAGUUAAGGACUUUUUUGUACUAAAGGUCCAAAAAAAUUGAGAAAAAUCCAACAUUUAACUUUGACAGCUUGUAAAAAAUUUUCCAAUUAAAGUAUCAACUUGAAAUAACUUUAUAAACUUAAUAUGAAGUUUUUUUAACAAUUUAGUGGAACUUUGGGUAAAUUUGGACAAUUUUUAAGGGAGUUAUGGACUUUUUGGUACUAAAGGUCCAAAAAAAUGGAGAAAAAUCCAACAUUUAACUUUGACAGCCUGUAAAAAAUUUUCCAAUUAAAGUAUCAACUUGAAAUAACUUUAUAAGCUUAAUAUGAAGUUUUCUUAAUAAUCUAGUGGAACUUUGGGCAAAUUUGGACAAUUUUCAAGGGAGUUAUGGACUUUUUUGUACUAAAGGUCCAAAAAAUGGAGAAAAAUCCAACAUUUAACUUUGACAGCCUGUAAAAAAUUUCUCAAUUAAAGUAUCAACUUCAAAUAACUUUAUAAACUUAAUAUGAAGUUUUCUUAAUAAUUUAGUGGAACUUUGGGUAAAUUUGGACAAUUUUCAAGGGAGUUAUGGACUUUUUUGUACUAAAGGUCCAAAAAAAUGGAGAAAAAACCAACAUUUAACUUUGACAGCCUGUAAAAAAUUUUUCAAUUAAAGUAUCAACUUGAAAUAACUUUAUAAACUUAAUAUGAAGUUUUCUUAAUAGUUUAGUGGAACUUUGGGCAAAUUCGGACAAUUUUCAAGGGAGUUAUGGACUUUUUUGUACUAAAGGUCCAAAAAAAUGGAGAAAAAACCAACAUUUAACUUUGACAGCCUGUAAAAAAUUUUUCAAUUAAAGUAUCGACUUGAAAUAUCUUUAUAAACUUAAUAUGAAGUUUUCUUAAUAAUUUAGUGGAACUUUGGGUAAAUUUGGACAAUUUUCAAAGGAGUUAUGGACUUUUUUGUACUAAAGGUCCAAAAAAGUGGAGAAAAAUUCAACAUUUAACUUUGACAGCCUGUAAAAAAUUUUCCAAUUAAAGUAUCAACUUGAAAUAACUUUAUAAACUUAAUAUGAAGUUUUCUUAAUAAUUUAGUGGAACUUUGGGUAAAUUUGGACAAUUUUUAAGGGAGUUAAGGACUUUUUUGUACUAAAGGUCCAAAAAAAUGGAGAAACAUCCAACAUUUAACUUUGACAGCUUGUAAAAAAUUUUCUAAUUAAAGUAUCAACUUGAAAUAACUUUAUAAACUUAAUAUGAAGUUUUCUUAAUAAUUUAGUGGAACUUUGGGUAAAUUUGAACAAUUUUUGAGGGAGUUAUGGACUUUUUUGUA
This 1569-nucleotide long non-coding RNA is filed under the name Anthonomus grandis grandis. RNAcentral describes it as "uncharacterized LOC126747126". The record is from RNAcentral. Lineage: Eukaryota; Metazoa; Arthropoda; Insecta; Coleoptera; Curculionidae.